Molecule: ribosomal RNA, 1583 nt
Filed under: Rhacophorus modestus
Lineage: Eukaryota; Metazoa; Chordata; Amphibia; Anura; Rhacophoridae
Description: 16S ribosomal RNA
Rfam family: Bacterial large subunit ribosomal RNA
Source: RNAcentral
CCAAAAACCUAGCCCAAAAAUAACACUAUACUCACACCUUUCUAUAUUAACAAAAUAAAACAUUUUAAACUUCUAGUAGAGGCGAUCAAAAGACAAAUAGGCGCUUAAGAAAAAGUACCGAAAGGGAAAAAUGAAAUAAAAAUGAAAUAAAUUUAAAGUUUAUUAAAGCAGAGAUUUAAGCUCGUACCUUUUGCAUCAUGGUCCAGCCAGUCAAACCAAGCAAAACGAAAAUUUCAGUUUGCACCCCCGAAACUAAGCGAGCUACUUCAAAACAGCUUAAAGAGCCAACCCGUCUCUGUGGCAAUAGAGUGGGAAGAUUUUCAAGUAGUAGUGACAAGCCUAACGAGCUUAGAGAUAGCUGGUUGUUCAGGAAAAGAAUAUUAGUUCUGCCUUAAAUUUUUUAAUGUUACAAAACAAGCCUGAAAAUUUAAGAGUUAUUCAACUAAGGCACAGCUUAUUUGAAACAGGGUACAACCUAUACACCAGGGUAAGAUAUUAAACAUUUCAUCAAGUGGGCCUAAGAGCAGCCACCUUUUAAAAAGCGUUAAAGCUUAAUCCAUCUUAUUACUAGAUACCACAAACUUACACGAACCCCCACCCUCUACUGAACGACUCCAUAAAUAUAUGGAAAUCAUUAUGCUGGAACUAGUAACUAGAAUCUAAUAUUCUCCAAAAUGCAAGCAUAAGCCAAAAUGGAUAAACCAUUGGCCAUUAACGAAGAUGAAUAAAUCACAACAACAUAACAAGAAAACCCUGUGAAUAUUAUCGUUAACCUAACACCAGAGCAUUUCAGGAAAGAUUAAAAGAGAAAGAAGGAACUCGGCAAAUUUCAACCCCGCCUGUUUACCAAAAACAUCGCCUCUUGACAAAUCAUAAGAGGUCCAGCCUGCCCAGUGAUAAAAUUCAACGGCCGCGGUAUCCUAACCGCGCGAAGGUAGCAUAAUCACUUGUUCUUUAAAUAGGGACUAGUAUCAACGGCACCACGAGGGUUGCACUGUCUCCUCUCUCUAAUCAGUGAAACUGAUCUUCCCGUGAAGAAGCGGGAAUAAAACCAUAAGACGAGAAGACCCCAUGGAGCUUUAAACCUCAAAGCAACUCUGACACAUAAUUCACCACAACCAACAGAGCUGUGCAAGUCGGUUUUAGGUUGGGGCGACCGCGGAGUAAAAAUUAACCUCCACGACGAAAAGAACUAGAUCUUUAUCUAAGAGCUACCCCUCUAAGAAUUAGUAAACUAACGAAUAAAUGACCCGAUUAUCGAUCAACGGACCAAGUUACCCUGGGGAUAACAGCGCAAUCUACUUCAAGAGCCCAUAUCGACAAGUAGGCUUACGACCUCGAUGUUGGAUCAGGGUAUCCCAGUGGUGCAGCCGCUACUAAAGGUUCGUUUGUUCAACGAUUAAAACCCUACGUGAUCUGAGUUCAGACCGGAGUAAUCCAGGUCGGUUUCUAUCUAUUAAGCGUUACUCCUAGUACGAAAGGAUCAGAGUAACAUGGCCAAUGCCUAAUUAAGCCAUCAUCUAUAUCAAUGACAUCAACUUAAUUGACACAGACCUCUUCCAACGUUAAAGACAAAUAACUUG